GCCUACGGGACGCAGCAGUCGGGAAUAUUGCGCAAUGGAGGAAACUCUGACGCAGUGACGCCGCGUGGGUGAAGGAGUAUUUCGGUAUGUAAAGCCCUAUCAGCAGGGAAGAACAAUGACGGUACCUGACUAAGAAGCACCGGCUAAAUACGUGCCAGCAGCCGCGGUAAUACGUAGGUGGCAAGCGUUGUCCGGAUUUACUGGGUGUAAAGGGCGUGUAGCCGGGCCGGCAAGUCAGAUGUGAAAUCCCAAGGCUCAACCUUGGAACUGCAUUUGAAACUGUUGGUCUUGAGUAUCGGAGAGGC
Molecule: ribosomal RNA, 305 nt
Filed under: uncultured bacterium
Lineage: Bacteria
Description: bacterial SSU rRNA
Rfam family: Bacterial small subunit ribosomal RNA
Source: RNAcentral